AACGAACGCUGGCGGCAUGCCUAACACAUGCAAGUCGAACGAGACCUUCGGGUCUAGUGGCGCACGGGUGCGUAACGCGUGGGAACCUGCCCUUAGGUUCGGAAUAACUCCCCGAAAGGGGUGCUAAUACCGGAUAAUGUCUUCGGACCAAAGAUUUAUCGCCUUUGGAUGGGCCCGCGUUGGAUUAGCUAGUUGGUAGGGUAAAAGCCUACCAAGGCGACGAUACAUAGCUGGUCUGAGAGGAUGAUCAGCCACACUGGGACUGAGACACGGCCCAGACUCCUACGGGAGGCAGCAGUGGGGAAUAUUGGACAAUGGGAGAAAGCCUGAUCCAGCAAUGCCGCGUGAGUGAUGAAGGCCUUAGGGUUGUAAAGCUCUUUUACCCGGGAUGAUAAUGACAGUACCGGGAGAAUAAGCUCCGGCUAACUCCGUG
RNAcentral lists this ribosomal RNA (433 nucleotides) under uncultured bacterium. RNAcentral's name for it is "partial 16S ribosomal RNA". It matches the Rfam family "Bacterial small subunit ribosomal RNA", at positions 29 to 507 of the family's 1533-position model. The record is from RNAcentral.